This 2500-nucleotide long non-coding RNA is filed under the name Mytilus galloprovincialis (Mediterranean mussel). Lineage: Eukaryota; Metazoa; Mollusca; Bivalvia; Mytilida; Mytilidae. The record is from RNAcentral.
GUAUGUCCCUGUUCUGGUGGGUGUAGCUUUGUUUGGCAGUCUUGUUAUUGCAUGCAGUUGUAUCUGCUGUUGUGGAAUGACAAGUGGACAGUCUAGUGGAUUAAAUAUUGCUUCCAAAUUUAGAAAGGUAAACUCAUUAUGCGAAUAAAUAUAACCUUUAAAAAACUAGAGGCUCUUUAAAUCCUGUGUCGCUCACAAUUGUAACUUUUGUUUUCUUUUAAGGGGAAUGCAUGUUGACACAUUUAUAGAUCGUAUCCUGCUUAUAUAAUAAUCUUUAUUUGUCAUAUAAGUAACAUUACAUCCCAGCUCCUUUGUUCUAACAGGAGUGAUCUGAGCCGGAUCACCCCAGUUUGAGUUUCUUUGUUAUGCAUGCUUUCCUUUGUUCUGUAACAUACAUGUUAUAAAACUUAUAACUAAUUGUACGGAAAAGACUAUCUAUCUAAAUUCACGUAGAAAAAAAUCCAGUGUAUAUACUGGGAUUCGAACUCGAGACCUUUAGCAUACCAAGCCACGACACAUACCACUACACCAGGACGACUAGAUACGAACUAUCAGUAAUUUAACAUAGUUAAAGGAAGCAAGAUAAGUUUUAUAAGUGGGGGCGAGUUGGCAGACCUUUAUUCAGUGGGGUUUAAACCCUUUUCGUUAAUAAGUGAGUUGUCAGACUGAUUGUUAAAUUUGAUUUUACACUUUUUUCAAAAGUUGGGCGAGUCGGUAAACAAGAGUGGGGCGAUUUUUUUAUAAAGUGGCGAUAUAGUGUGGGCCGAUUGGCCAGUGGGGCGAGUUUACAUUGUUUGAUAUCUACUCAUCGUGUUCGGGGUCAUAAAGGGUAUACAUCAUAUAGUAAUAUAUAAAGUAUAUUAUAAUGCUUGUGUGGCGUUCUAAACUAGAUUUGAUGAAUUGUAAAUGGGUUUUCGUCUAAUCUAAAACAGCUGGGAUGUAAAAUAGUUAUCCCAUUCGGACUUGGUGUAUCAGUGUAAGAUCACCCUCUGGCCUCCGGCCAUCGGGAUGAUCUUACACUGACACACCGCGUCCUUAUGGGAUAACUAUUAAUUAUACUUGGGACAUAAACAAAAGUAACAACAACAAUAAAAUAACUGAGUUGAACACACAAAUAUAUCUCUAUAAGAAUCUACCAACCAGUAAACUUAAUAGGUAUUGGAUCAUCAAAAUUGACAAUACUACACAAACAGGAAAAAAUAUAUGAGUAUAAAAGAUUGUGUAACAAUACCGAUAAAUAGAUGGAAAACAUUUGCCAUGGCAAAGUAUGCAAAAAGAGAAUCGGGAGAAGUUUUGGAUAAAAACACUGGGUGUCCUCCACCCAGACGGAAUCAAUAGAAAGAAAUAAUUAAAUUUACAGUCUAGUGUUUAUAUUAUUAUAUUCAGGAUUUUGGAUUAAAAUCAAUCGACCAAACUACCUGUAUUAUUACUGAUCUAUGUUUACACCUUAUACAUUAUAUAUCAGUAUUGUUAAAACUUUUUGCACCGAAGAAGGCCAUUUGUUGAGCCGAAAUAUUUGCAAUUAUUGUAUAAUUUAUAUCAUCUGUUCAGUUUUUCCAUCUUUGUGCGAUGAUAUUCAACACUUUUUAGUGUUUUGUUUUCAAUCUAUUUAUCGGUAUUGUUACACAAUCUGUUAGACUCAUAUAUAUAUAUAUAUAUAUAUAUACUCAUAUAUAUACAAGUAAAACUAACUAAGAGUUUUUCAGUAUCAGGUAGAUAUGGAAACAUAGAAAUAUCUAUUGCAAGGGGGGGGGGGGGGGGGGGGGGUGUCCCAACCCAGGACAAAAGGGGGGGGGGUUCCAACUAUGUGUCAUCAUUCAAAUGCAUUGAGCAGCCAAAAAAAGGGAGAUUCCAACCCCCGGAAACCCCCCUCUGGAUCCGCCACUGCUUUUAGUGCUGAUCUUUCACUUUUUUGCCGAUUUUUCAUGAAGAUCAGAAUAAUGAACUUGUCAUUAUUUUCAUUAAACAUACUAUAAUUUUGUUUAUCUCUUUUUAGUAAUGGUUCAACAAUAACGGCAAUACCUCACCAGUUCUUGACGGAUAUGACGAUCAACGGUACCAUCAUCACAUUUUUUUUCAAGGAACAUCACAUACGAUAUUUAUGAAUAAUUGUAUUCCAAUUGAUUUCUUAAUCCUGAACGAUAAUGGAUAAGGUUUUGUAUUUUGCAACUCUGAAAUAUGAUUAGUAUUGUAAAUAUAUUUUGCUAGCUAGGAAGAUCUUGGAAUAUACGUUUGUUGAAAUAUUUCGUUAAUACUCAGUUGUGUGGAUAUAGGAAGAUGUUGGCUCUUAGCCAAUGAGACAGCAACAUCGACAAGUAACAUUGAGAAAUAUGUAACGGCAGCCGCCUUGUGUGCGUGUUUGUGAUUUUGUAUAUAUACCAGUCAUGUCUUCACUUAAUUUCAUAGUGCGGUCGUAAAUAUUUGUCCAGCUUAUGAAAACAGACGAGGAAGCAACACAUUUGAUCUUACAUUCCGCCGUUCUCAAAUUUAGUUUUAGGGG